This 235-nucleotide long non-coding RNA is filed under the name Ananas comosus (pineapple). Its description in RNAcentral is "long non-coding RNA (ACOM_LNC026535)". Lineage: Eukaryota; Viridiplantae; Streptophyta; Magnoliopsida; Poales; Bromeliaceae. The record is from RNAcentral.
UUUCACGAAAUUUGUGGCUCGAAGAUGAUGUUUGGAUUAAGGGAGGAUGUUGGAAUAAUAAUCCAAACUUAGUUAGAGAUAAGUUUAAGUCUUUUAUUUCAUUAUGAUUAGGAUUUGUAAUUAUUCAAAGUAAAAGUUAUAUUUAUCAUCUGUUAUGACUUGAUAGCUAUAUAUAGUUAAGCAUGGAUUACAUAAUCGAUAUCAGCGCAAAUGCCGAUUUCAACAAACUAAGUCA